RNAcentral lists this long non-coding RNA (535 nucleotides) under Pongo abelii (Sumatran orangutan). Its description in RNAcentral is "lincRNA". The record is from RNAcentral. Lineage: Eukaryota; Metazoa; Chordata; Mammalia; Primates; Hominidae.
UAGAGAUGCACUGACCUUCCUUGCAAGAGCCUUUCCCUGAACUUGGGCUCCUGAGAGAAGCUCUGAACAUGGCUAUCCCUGCCUUUUCAUCUUGGCAGUAGAUUUCUUCAGCAGCUGCUCUACAAAUAUGCAAUGGACCCUUUAAGAAUUUCUCCUUUACAGUGAGCACAAUGCUAAGCUUUGUCAGCAGAUGCCACUGGAGCAGCAUUGCAGAAGAAAGCGAGUUUCUCUUCCUGAUUCUGGUGUGCUACUUUUCUUCUUCUUGCUCCAGCUGCAUUAUCUAUCAGUGGUACUAUGUAUAAGACCAUCCCGCUGUGCCCUGCCACACCACCUGCUCAGAGGCACAGUCUCUCACUGACUAUUUGGCCUGAUUCUGAGCCUGUGGCCACCUUCUCACAGUCCUGCAACACAGGCACUGUGUGCUCCAGGCCUCAUGUCCCCAGCAGUGGCCUGACUGUGCACUUAGCCACAGCCUCAGUUUGCCUGUGCUCCAAGAAAUUGCAUCCUAUUUGCCCAGCAGCUAUGGACCAGCUCU